GACGAACGCUGGCGGCGUGCCUAAUACAUGCAAGUAGAACGCACAGUUUAUACCGUAGCUUGCUCCACCAUAGACUGUGAGUUGCGAACGGGUGAGUAACGCGUAGGUAACCUGCCUGGUAGCGGGGGAUAACUAUUGGAAACGAUAGCUAAUACCGCAUAAUAUUAAUUAUUGCAUGAUAAUUAAUUGAAAGGUGCAAUUGCACCACUACCAGAUGGACCUGCGUUGUAUUAGCUAGUAGGUGAGGUAACGGCUCACCUAGGCGACGAUACAUAGCCGAGCUGAGAGGGUGAUCGGCCAAACUGGGAAUGAGACACGGCCCAGACUCCUACGGGAGGCAGCAGUAGGGAAUCUUCGGAAAUGGACGAAAGUCUGACCGAGCAACGCCGCGUGAGUGAAGAAGGGUGUCGGAUCGUAAAGCUCUGUUGUAAGAGAAGAACGGGUGUGAGAGUGGAAAGUUCACACUGUGACGGUAUCUUACCAGAAAGGGACGGCUAACUACGUG
This 505-nucleotide ribosomal RNA is filed under the name uncultured bacterium. RNAcentral describes it as "partial 16S ribosomal RNA". It matches the Rfam family "Bacterial small subunit ribosomal RNA", at positions 28 to 507 of the family's 1533-position model. The record is from RNAcentral.